AGACCCGCGUGGCCCCUGCGGCUGCAACGGGUAGCACUUGACGGCCGUCCGCACUUCCUCCUUUGUCUUUCCCUUAUUCCUUACGUUUCUCCCUUGCUCACUCUUCCCUCCUUACCCUAUCGGGGCUGCAGACCCACGGAGGCCACGUUCACUCCUGCCCGUCGGCCUUGGCAAGCGCGGGCCCCUUGUCGCGCAGAGCGGAGGGUCCUGGGAGAUCCUGGGUUGGCCCAGCCACACCUUGCGCCGCCGCCGUUUCUGCUGGACACCAGGAGAAAACCACGGCAGCUGCAGCCACCAACUUCCCCUACAUAGCCCCACGGGAUCGGAUCCCACUCCCCACUCACCGCCAGACCGGAAGCAGGAAGGCGGAAGUCGCGGCCUUUGCGUCCCGCCCACAGGCGACCCGAGCCGCCAGCCGGGCCUUCUCCAUCAUCUUCCUCCACCUGAUUCGUAGAGACCUCUGGACAUCUGAGCCUAAGCAGGGCCACUAAAUGAGAGAGAAUCCCAUCACUGAAAAGCAACAAUGAAUAUAUUAAGGACCACAGGAGAGAUAGAAGAAAUAUUGCAACUGAAGCUGCUAGAUGGUUAUGAUUAUCUGAAUAGGUGUGAUCUUGACUUUAGCGAAUUAACAGAGAAUGGAAUCUCUCCACGUUGCCCAAGCAGGUCUCGAACUCCUGUACUUGAGCUAUUCUCCCACCUCUGCCUCCCUAAGUGCUGGGAUUACAAGCGUGAGCCACUGUUCAUGGCCUUAGGGACUUUUAAAUGUUAAAUUGAUUUUGACCUACCCAGGAGCUAGAGAAUACCAAUGAUUACAGAGGGGAGAAUAAAAUUGCCGUAUAGAUUUUCUGUGCUCCUUUAGAAAAUCCAUUCUGGAGUAAAGAGAUGGGCAAUUGGUCAACUGAGUUUCUUUCUUGUAUAAUAUGUCAGAGUUUGAUAUUGUCAGUCUGUUAACCAAGAUUUUUAUUGGGAUAUUUGCUGAAAGAGGCUCUAAGAAUAUCCCAUCACCAGUAAUUAGAAUUUGUUACAGGUUUCAGUCAGGGUAGUUGAAAGGGAGCUAAUUUGGUAACACAAUAACCUAGUACCCAACUAAUUCAGGAGCAUGAAGAAAAAUUGGUUGAUUAAGGCUUAAGUCAGAUAAAUAAUACUAUAGGUUGACAUGGCUGGGUUAGCUCAGGUUUGUAUAUUUGUUUUUUCAAAGAGGCAGACUUUUCCUAAGAUUAGAAUCCACAGUAAUGAUGGAAGCAGGAAACUUAGGGGCAGGCCAUAGGUGUAAAAUCAAAGUUGAGCUGCUUCUGUGUUACAGCUGUAAGCACAGGAAGUUGCCCAUUUUUUUCAAGCACUAUUUCUGCAUAGUCAUAUAUCAGCUAGUGUUGUCAACAUAGACACAAGAGACAAUAGGAAUACGUACAUGCAAUUCCACCAUCAGCUAAAAAACCCACAUAAGUCUUUGAAGCUCUCAAAUAACACGCAUGACACUGAAUGGUACAUUUUGAUGCACUUUGAAACUCUUAUCUCUUUAGUUGGUAAGUACAUUUGAACACUUAAUAUGUGCUCAGCAGAAGAGAAGGAGAACAAGGGAAGUCUAAUAUAAAAUCAGGAUUUUUUCUUUUCUCUUUGAAGCCAAUUAGAAUGUGUGUAUGUGUGUGUGUGUGUGUGUGUGUGUGUGCGUGUGUGUGUGUGUGUGUGUGUAUUAUUUAGUGUAGUAAUCCUUGGGUUUUUUUUAAAAAAACGUGUUUUACUAUGAAGUGUAACAUACAAGAAAGUGAUAACAUAUGACAUAUACAGCUUACAAAUGGUUGUAAGAAUUAAUACACUUUGUAAGUGCCACCCAUGGUAAAAAUAAGUAGGUGGAGAAGGAGGAGAAGAAAAGAAGAAUUUAACUAGCAUGUCAGAAGUCUCAUGGAUCUCUUUCCAGUCACAACCCUCUCACCAAGCUCGAUUCCUAUUCCCUGAGUAAGUUCUAAUCUUACUUUUCUUUUUUUUUUUUUUUUUGAGAGAGAGUCUGACUCUGUCACCCAAGCUAGAGUGGUGCAAUCUCGGUUCACUGCAAUCUCUGCCUCCUGGGUUCAAGUGAUUCUCCUGCCUCAGCCUCCCGAGUAGCUGGGAUUACAGGCAUGUGCCACCAUGCUGUGCUAAUUUUUGUAUUUUUAGUAGAGAUGGGUUUUCGCCAUGUUGGCCAGGCUAGUCUUGAACUCCUGACCUUAGGUGAUCCGCCCGCCACAGCCUCCCAAAGUGCUAGUAUUACAGGCAUCAGCCACCGUGCCCAGCCUAAUCUUACUUUUAAAGUAAUCAUUUAUUGCUUUUCUUUACAGUUUACCACUUGGAUGUGCAUCCAUAUGUACCAUAUACAACCAUAGAGUUUAGUGUUGUGUGUCUGGAAACUUUACAGAAUGAGGUCAUACUUUAUAUAUUCUUUUGUCUUGUUUCUUUCACUUGUUAUCUAUGAUGUUGAAUGUAGAUGCAGUCUGUUCAUUUUCAUUGCUAUGUAGUAUUCCAUUAAAUAAACGAC
This 2509-nucleotide long non-coding RNA is filed under the name Homo sapiens (human). RNAcentral's name for it is "non-protein coding SMIM15-AS1:20". The record is from RNAcentral. Lineage: Eukaryota; Metazoa; Chordata; Mammalia; Primates; Hominidae.